This 1046-nucleotide long non-coding RNA is filed under the name Papio anubis (olive baboon). RNAcentral's name for it is "lncRNA (ENSPANG00000040810.1)". The record is from RNAcentral. Lineage: Eukaryota; Metazoa; Chordata; Mammalia; Primates; Cercopithecidae.
AAAGAAGAGAGACUGAUUGGGAUGCUGUAAUUAUAAACAGCUGGGAUGAUAACAACCUGGACAUAACUGACUCCAAAGUAGUCAGGAUCAAAAGUCAACUUGGCAAAAGAUAUUCUAUCAGACUUCUACUUCAUGACAUCCACAUGAAGAUAACAAUACAUGUUUCUGUAAAAUGGACAAAUGAGUAUGUGUGCCCACAACCAACAUUUGCUCCUGCUCUCUGGCAAUCUCAGUCACUUCUUUGUGUUUAACUUGGGAUGUUAUCGAAUCACACUUUUAAAUAUUUUAUUUCCACCUAUUGAAAAAGUGUGCUUCUAAAUAUGAAAUGAGUUCAGAAUAUCACAAAUAUUUGACAAAUAACAAGCACUUGUAUCUAGUUCCAAUCUCAUGUAGAAGAGAGGUUCAGAACAGAAUUUUGAUACCUGUUACGGAUUGAAUAUUUUUUCCCCUCCAAAUUCACAUGUUGAAAUCUAAUCCCCAGUGUGAUGGUACUUGGAGGUGGGACUUUGGGAGAUAAUUAGGUCACAAGGGUGGAGCCCUCAUGAAUGGGAUUAGUGCCCUUAUAAGGAAAGGCCAAUGACCUACCUUUUUUCUUUCCAUAAUUUGGUGAUAUAGGAAGUCAGUGUCUGCAACCAGGAAGAAGACCCUCACUAGAACCUGCACCUGCUGGCACUCUGAUCUUGAAAUUCCAGCCACCAGAACUGGACAGCUGGAUGAAUACUUUCAGGGAAAAUUCUGUUUGAAUUCCGCUGGUGGCACGCACAUAGCCAUUUCCAGAUCUGAAGGUGCCUGCGCCUUUCCUAGUACUCUACUGUCCACGGGGCCACAAGAGUCUCAACUGCUGGAUGUUGUCCAAGUCCUCGUCAUUGCAGCUGUGAUGGCUACACUGCCAGGCCUGGCUCGAAGGCACAAAGAGGGUUUUUUCUUUGUUUGACCACAGAAGGGUCAUCCCAACACUGAAUUUUAUCACCCCUUGGGGAUUUGCUAAUAUAGAAGUCAAAAUAGCGAAGGUUUAAGGUGAGAGGUGUGCUCUCCAGUUAACCGGU